Molecule: ribosomal RNA, 304 nt
Filed under: uncultured fungus
Lineage: Eukaryota; Fungi
Description: eukaryotic LSU rRNA
Rfam family: 5.8S ribosomal RNA (bases 1-52)
Source: RNAcentral
AACGCACCUUGCGCUCCCUGGUAUUCCGGGGAGCAUGCCUGUUUGAGUGUCGUGAAAUCAUCAUGGUCAUGAUCUUUAAUUAAUCAUGGCUUGGUUUUGGAGGUUAUGUUGGCUUUUUAUUAAGUUGACUCCUCUUAAAUACAUUAGCUCAGUGUUUAAUGCUUAGAGCGGUUCACGGUGUGAUAAUUAUCUACGCCGUCGGAUGUCUGCUUUAAAGGGUGUGCGCUGCUUCUAACCGUCUAUUAAGUUGGACAAUCAAUGACAAUUUGACCUCAAAUCAGGUAGGACUACCCGCUGAACUUAA